UACCAGAAGUCGACCGAGCUGCUGAUCC
RNAcentral lists this non-coding RNA (28 nucleotides) under Macaca fascicularis (crab-eating macaque). Lineage: Eukaryota; Metazoa; Chordata; Mammalia; Primates; Cercopithecidae. RNAcentral also lists the same sequence under 2 other names. The record is from RNAcentral.